UCUUUAUUCUCUCUCUCUCUCUCUCGCUAUAUUUAGCUUCUCCACAUUGCGUGCUCACUCCACUCAAUUUUAGAUUUUUACGUGUCUGGUGCCUGAACUUGUUCUUCAUUGUGCCCUUUCUCUGAGAUUGCAUAUAGGUUUUGAGUGCUGGAACUUUUAAAAUGGGGAUAUAUUCAAUGCCCUUUGUGGGUGUUCUGCUACUUUUCUGUCUGGUUUCAUCUUCAGAGGCAGAAUAUUUGAAGUAUAAAGACCCUAAGGUGCCACCGAAUGUCAGAAUCAGUGACUUGUUGAAGAGGAUGUCUCUGGAAGAGAAGAUAGGUCAAAUGACACAAAUUGAAAGGAGUGUUGCUACUCCUGAUGUGAUGAAGAAGUACUUCAUUGGGAGUGUGCUCAGUGGGGGAGGGAGUGUUCCGGCGACAAAGGCAUCUGCUGAGACCUGGCAGCAAAUGGUGAAUCAGCUGCAAAAGGCAGCAUUGUCUACUUGCCACGGGAUUCCGAUGAUUUAUGGUAUAGAUGCAGUUCAUGGACACAACAAUGUCUAUAACCAUUUUUCCUCACAAUGUUGGGCUAGGAGUUACCAGGGAUCCUGUGCUCAUAAAGAAGAUUGGAGAAGCAACUGCCCUUGAAGUUAGAGCUACUGGAAUUCCAUAUGUCUUUGCUCCGUGUAUUGCGGUCUGCAGAGAUCCAAGAUGGGGACGUUGCUAUGAAAGCUACAGUGAGGACCCUAAGAUUGUUAAAACUAUGACGGAAAUUAUACCUGGCUUGCAAGGAGAUAUCCCUGGCAAUUCCAUUAAGGGAGUUCCCUUUGUUGCUGGAAAGAACAAGGUUGCAGCCUGUGUCAAGCACUACUUGGGAGAUGGUGGCACAAACAAGGGUAUCAAUGAGAACAACACUCUGAUCAGUUACAAUGGAUUGCUUAGCAUUCACAUGCCAGCAUACUAUGACUCUAUCAUCAAGGGUGUUUCAACUGUAAUGGUCUCGUACUCUAGCUGGAAUGGGAUGAAAAUGCAUGCAAACAGAAAACUUAUCACUGGUUACCUCAAGAACAAAUUGCAUUUCAAGGGUCUUGUCAUAUCAGAUUGGCAAGGUAUUGACCGGAUUACCUCUCCUCCUCAUGCUAACUAUUCAUACUCUGUUCAAGCUAGUGUCAGUGCUGGAAUUGAUAUGAUUAUGGUUCCCUACAACUACACCGAGUUCAUUGAUGAACUAACCCAUCAAGUAAAGAACAACAUUAUCUCAAUGAGCAGGAUUGAUGAUGCCGUGGCAAGAAUCUUAAGAGUAAAAUUUGUCAUGGGCUUAUUUGAAAAUCCAUAUGCUGAUCCAAGCCUGGUGAACCAACUGGGUAGCAAGGAACAUAGAGAGAUAGCAAGGGAAGCUGUACGUAAAUCUCUGGUCUUGCUAAAGAAUGGUAAAUCUUACAAGAAACCACUUCUUCCUCUUCCCAAAAAGUCCGCAAAAAUACUGGUAGCAGGAAGUCAUGCUAACAAUUUGGGUUAUCAAUGUGGAGGAUGGACAAUUACCUGGCAGGGACUUGGUGGCAAUGAUCUCACUUCAAGUACAACCAUCCUUGAUGCUGUGAAACAAACCGUUGAUCCUACCACUGAAGUUGUCUUCAAUGAAAAUCCAGAUAGGAACUUUGUCAAGUCGUUCAAAUUUGACUAUGCCCUUGUUGUUGUCGGAGAACACACUUAUGCUGAAACAUUCGGUGACAGUUUGAAUCUGACUAUAGCUGAUCCAGGUCCAAGUACCAUCACCAAUGUGUGUGGGGCUAUUCGAUGCAUAGUUGUUCUCGUCACUGGCCGCCCAGUUGUGAUUAAGCCAUAUCUAUCAAAAAUAGAUGCCCUUGUAGCUGCAUGGCUUCCCGGCACUGAAGGUCAAGGUGUUGCUGAUGUUCUCUACGGUGACUAUGAAUUCACUGGCAAGCUGGCAAGAACAUGGUUCAAGACAGUUGACCAGCUCCCAAUGAAUAUUGGUGAUAAACAUUAUGAUCCUCUAUAUUCAUUUGGUUUUGGGUUGACAACAAACAUCACUAAAUAUUGAAAGUGAAACCUUGUGUAACAUGUCCAAGAGCACUACUCUUUUUCCACUUGGAGCCUUGAUUGUCUAUUGACGAGUGACUUGUUAAUUUAUGCUUACCUACGGACAACUAGCAUCAGAACCUUUUCAAAAUAUGAAUUCAUUCUCCUUAACUAGUGCAGAUUCAUCAUUUUGAUUACUAUUGUUAACAUUGAUUGGUUCUUGCAAA
This is an RNA transcript of Glycine soja, 2245 nucleotides long. It is a transcript of the gene named beta-glucosidase BoGH3B-like, with no coding region annotated. The transcript is spliced from 10 exons. Lineage: Eukaryota; Viridiplantae; Streptophyta; Magnoliopsida; Fabales; Fabaceae. The record is from RefSeq and is a predicted model, not a curated record.